RNAcentral lists this long non-coding RNA (1283 nucleotides) under Marmota monax (woodchuck). The stretch from base 557 to 624 matches the Rfam family "tRNA". Lineage: Eukaryota; Metazoa; Chordata; Mammalia; Rodentia; Sciuridae. The record is from RNAcentral.
GCAGCCAGCUGUGGCAGGGUAUGGCAGGGUGGGACACCUAAGUUUUGUAAAGCCCACUGUUUUUUAGGUAAACUUGCUGUGACUUGUGUUUAUUUCCUUUAAGUAUUCAGUAAUGUCUUAUGGCUUUAUCUCAACAAUGCUCUGCAGAAAGGAGUUUCUGUCUCUUGGCAAAGCCAAGAGAAUUCAAAUGGAUAAGCUAUGAGCAAGGUGAAGCAGGGGAAGAGAACUGGAAGCUCAUGUUUGUGAUCUCCCAGAGAGUCUUGGUGUAGUGCGGUGUGUCCUAUUGCUAUCAUAUAAAGGGGCCAGAUUCUUCCCUAAGGUAGUCCCUGUUGGGACCCAGGGAGUCAGAGAGGAGAGACAAGCUGUUCAGGGCAGGCUGGAAGCUUGCUGGGGCUGGAGCAGGAGGGGACCAGCUUCAUAUGCACAGCUUAUGUGCCUGACAGUGAAAACCAAAGUGUCUGAACCUGGGAAGAUGGUGUGAGACUGCCUCGCUAGGUCUAUCAUAAGCUCAUUUGUGACUCGUGCAUGUGUCUCACUAUAAAAGAAUAGAGGAGCUGGGGUUGUAGCUCAGUGGUAGAGCACUUCAUCCUAAGUAUGAGGUGCUGGGUUCGAUCCUCAGCACCACAUAAAAAUAAAGAAAAUAAAGGUAUCGUGUCCAUCUACAUCUAAAAAGAAAAAAGAAAAAAAAAAGAUUUUAAAAGCAAGGCUUCCCAUGAAGGGAGCCCAGGGCAUUGCUCAUGGUGUGUCCACCACAAGCCUCCCUCAAGAGCCUUGAAUUCUGCUCCCAUCCUGGACCAUGCCCAGCAAUCUUCACUACGGCUGCUUCAUGAACUCUGUUACUGCUUCUGUUUCCAACAAUGUCCAGAAAUGACUCUGGAGGACUGGGGGUGGGGGGUGGGGUUAAAGUUUGUGCACAGAAAGAAGGCCGUGCAGCGCCUGUGGCCUGAGCCACCUGGGAAAGGUGAGUUUUGGUCAGGUUCUGGUCACACUGCCAUUCCGAUUUCAGAAAGAGAGAAGCAAGAUCAGUCAGUCACUGGAGGGUUCCAGGAUGUGGUGCACUGACCCCCAAACCUGGCAGCACACCUCAGUCUCCUGGGAUGCUUUCCAAAAUACAUUUCUCUGGUUCCUAGUCCACACUCAGACAGGUCUUAGAUGGGAAAGACCAGGAUUAAAACACGAACUUUAUACAGUUAAUUAGUUCUAACUCCUUUACUUAGCAGUGUGACCUUGAGUAGAUCACAUAACCUUUCCAAACCAGUUGUUUUUUUUUUUUUUAAUUUAUU